AAUUACUGUUUUCUUUUCCUUGGUCAUAUUUUCCUUCUAAUAUCCUUGUUUUCUAACAUCUAAGAGAAUCACAUUGAACUUGCGGCCUUGUUGCUAGGUUUCAAGCUGAUUUUAUGCAGUCUACUGAGACACUAUUUUCGUUUUUGAAUUCUGAAUCAAGUCCCAAGGCAACAGGGCCCUGUUUCUUAGCAACACAGAUGGGCAGACCAUAUAUUCCAGUGCUUUUGUGCAAGGGAAGAAUAAACAUCUCCCUGAAUAAGGGUGUGCUGCAAGUUGAUCUCUUUGCUUAACUUCCCCUAGAACAGAGGAACGAGAGGCAUUCUGUGAUACAUCACAUGAAGUUUGUCAGGAAGUCCCUGUUUUUGCAAGUCGGUUACUUUGCAGAACUGAGACACAGAGGGAAUCAAGAAGCAAUAGUUCUUCAUCUAAGCACAGUAUGCAACAGAUUUACCACAUCUUGUGUCAAGUUACUCCAGAGAUCCUUUAAAUGUGAAGUUAAAAUCACAUCCUUCCAACAGAGAUGGGAGAAAGGAGGCAAAGAUCUACUCAAUGAAUUGUUCUAA
This 563-nucleotide long non-coding RNA is filed under the name Anas platyrhynchos platyrhynchos (common mallard). Its description in RNAcentral is "lncRNA (ENSAPLG00000024772.1)". The record is from RNAcentral. Lineage: Eukaryota; Metazoa; Chordata; Aves; Anseriformes; Anatidae.